UGCCCUAGUAACGGCGAGUGAAGCGGCAACAGCUCAAAUUUGAAAUCUGGCCUCCUCCGGUGGUCCGAGUUGUAAUUUGCAGAGGGUGCUUUGGCGUCGGUAGCGGUCUAAGUUCCUUGGAACAGGACAUCACAGAGGGUGAGAAUCCCGUACGUGGUCGCCUGCCUUCGCCGUGUAAAGCCCCUUCGACGAGUCGAGUUGUUUGGGAAUGCAGCUCUAAAUGGGAGGUAAAUUUCUUCUAAAGCUAAAUACCGGCCAGAGACCGAUAGCGCACAAGUAGAGUGAUCGAAAGAUGAAAAGCACUUUGGAAAGAGAGUCAAACAGCACGUGAAAUUGUUGAAAGGGAAGCGCUUGCCGCCAGACUUGCCCGCGGUUGCUCAUCGGAACUUCUGCUCCGAGCACUCUUCCGCGGGCAGGCCAGCAUCAGUUUGGGCGACCGGAUAAAGGCCUCUGUCAUGUAUCUUCCUUCGGGAUGACCUUAUAGGGGAGGCGCAAUGCGGCCAGCCCGGACUGAGGUCCGCGCAUCUGCUAGGAUGCUGGCGUAAUGGCUGCAAGCGGCCCGUCUUGAAACACGGACCAAGGAGUCUAACAUCUAUGCGAGUGUUUGGGUGUCAAGCCCGGGCGCGUAAUGAAAGUGAACGGAGGUGGGAACCUUAGGGUGCACCAUCGACCGAUCCUGAUGUCUUCGGAUGGAUUUGAGUAAGAGCAUAGCUGUUGGGACCCGAAAGAUGGUGAACUAUGCUUGAAUAGGGUGAAGCCAGAGGAAACUCUGGUGGAGGCUCGCAGCGGUUCUGACGUGCAAAUCGAUCGUCAAAUUUGGGCAUAGGGGCGAAAGACUAAUCGAACUAUC
RNAcentral lists this ribosomal RNA (850 nucleotides) under Halobyssothecium estuariae. RNAcentral describes it as "partial large subunit ribosomal RNA". It matches the Rfam family "Eukaryotic large subunit ribosomal RNA", at positions 76 to 944 of the family's 3401-position model. The record is from RNAcentral. Lineage: Eukaryota; Fungi; Ascomycota; Dothideomycetes; Pleosporales; Lentitheciaceae.